Labrus mixtus (cuckoo wrasse) is the source of this 458-nucleotide long non-coding RNA. RefSeq lists it as uncharacterized. The record is from RefSeq and is a predicted model, not a curated record. NCBI's taxonomy places the organism in Eukaryota, Metazoa, Chordata, Actinopteri, Labriformes, Labridae. The transcript is spliced from 3 exons.
CCUGGGUGGCACCUGUUAAGUUGGUAAAACAAUGUUCAAGAUUGUGAGUGUAGAAGAGUACAUAUCUGAUUUGAAAAUGUGUCUUUGAUUUUGUUUGCUUUGACAGAUGAUGCUAAAUUAUUUUGUUUUUUAUGGUAGUUAGUGUUGACGUCAUGAUCAAACAGAGAGGAUCUGUGACAGAAUUAAAGUAUCUGUAGAUGUACAGACAUUUAGCUCAUUCCCUGACAAUAGUCACAGCUGAUAGGGUUAGUCCUGACUAUACCAACAAAGUUCAAACUUUGUGUCUCCCCUCAUGUCUGGAUUGUUUGGCAGACUUGGUUUAGGGUAACAUGCCCCCCUGACUUUACAUCAUCUUCAGUAUAAAUACAAAGCCUAAUGGGAUACUGUGACAGACACUGUAUUACAUGUGCUGUUAAUGUCACUUCUCCUCGCGAGUCGUAUAUAAACACCUUCAACUU